GAGGAUUGAAGACUGGCUGAAGAUGGGGAACAUGCAAGGAAACGCUUCGUCGUCUGGACCGAAGAAGCCAUUUGGUAAUGACCAGCACAAGGAUGAGGGUGAAUCGAGUGCUGUGUACGCCCAGAGAGGACACGGUAGGGGUCGUUACUACCAGCACACCGCUGCGGUAACUAUUCCUGCUGACAAUCAGCCUGCACAACAGCAACAGCA
RNAcentral lists this long non-coding RNA (210 nucleotides) under Lathyrus oleraceus (garden pea). RNAcentral's name for it is "Pisum sativum (pea) long non-coding RNA (PSAT_LNC015858)". The record is from RNAcentral. Lineage: Eukaryota; Viridiplantae; Streptophyta; Magnoliopsida; Fabales; Fabaceae.